UUACUCGAUACGACGACUCGGCAUU
This 25-nucleotide non-coding RNA is filed under the name Drosophila erecta. Lineage: Eukaryota; Metazoa; Arthropoda; Insecta; Diptera; Drosophilidae. The record is from RNAcentral. RNAcentral also lists the same sequence under 1 other name.